GCAUACUACGAGUCAUGAGGUGGGAACGUUACCUCUAGACUACAUAGGCCGCUUUGACUACUGUAACUCCAUUACCAUUGCUAAUUUUGUGCAAACUCUCAUUUCCAGUUGUUCGUAUUAAAAUAUCUUCCCUGCCUACUUCAACAUUGAAAUCUCCUUACAAAAUUUUCAUAUGGUAUUUUGGGAAUAUAUCUAAUACAUGUUCUAGUUCUUUGUAGAACCUUUGUAUCGUCAGUGAUAUCACUCCAGUGACCUCUAUCCUAUCACUAACAAACUCUACCCACUUAACUGCUGAUAUGAUUCUCUUAUGUGCAAAAAACUGUGCCUAAUUCAUGACUCUCAUUCUCUUUCCAUACAAAAAUGUAUAUUCACCCGCUCAUUUGGUGCCAUCUCUUGCCUAUCUGACCUCCUGUACCCCCAUUAAAUCCAACAUAUUCUGAUAUUUCUUUCCCCACUGUCACGAGAGAACCUGCCCUGUACAAACUUCUUACAUUCCAUGUACCAAAUCUCAUGACUAUUUUCUUUAGCACAGGUAUUUUAUCCACAUAAUCCAUCCAGGUGUCAGGCCCUUUGUGUCAUCUUGUAACAAGUUUAUUUUUUACGGUGAGGAGCUGUUGGCCAAACGCCCAACCACCAGUCUGCAGGACCACCCCUUGUUGCCUGUCCAUGUCUGUGUAUUCAAUAUAUUCACAGCUAUCCUCCAUAUCUGGAGGCCAUCUUUUCCAUCCACAACCUGAGGAUGCGCCAUGCUAUGGUGACAAAGAACCCACUUAACAUGGAUUUCUGGACUAGACAUACCAAAAUUUUGUAAUUUCAUCUACUUCCACUGAAUUAAUGAACAGUUUGUUUCAUUAAUUGAAUAUAAUAUCGUUUAUCAUUUGUUGCAGUUGAAACGUGGAAAGUGCAAAGUAGAUGGCCCUGAAGGUAGUCCGACUCCACAGAAACCUCAACGGAGGGAAUUUGUGAUGCACAAUAAGGCACCCAUGUGGAAUGAAAACAGUCAGGUAUACCAACUUGACUUUGGAGGUCGAGUUACCCAAGAGUCAGCCAAGAACUUCCAGAUUGAGUUCAGAGGGAAGCAGGUGAUGCAGUUUGGACGUAUUGAUGGAAAUGCUUAUACAUUAAACUUCCAGUAUCCAUUCUCUACAUUGCAAGCAUUUGCAGUGGCACUUGCUAAUGUAACACAAAGGCUCAAGUGAAUUCUACUGGGUAUUUUUUGACAUAUCACAGAUCCACCAAACUUGUUCUAUUCAGUAUGAUAUUGAGAAUGGAUGGAUCAUGCAGGCUGUGAAUUGCUAAACAAACAACCAGUUGCCAAACAGACUGUUGUGUGGUCAACCCAAAUGAGAGCUGGGGAAAUGGAAAGUUUCUGCAUGUCGACCACUAUAAAACACACACUUCAGUCUCGUGCUCACAAACCAGCAGACUUAAUUUCAAGUUCUAAAAACUCGUUCUAGUUACACAUCUAUAGAAAUCUUGUCAAGAAUAUUUACUUCUGCUCAUUAUGCUGCAUUUUUUAAAUAUUUGAUCAAGAAUUUCCAUGAAUGUACAUCAGUGAAUGCAUAUCUGCAGAACAUCAUUUUAAGCAGUGUUUUCCUCCAUUCAUUUUGCCUAAGGUUGUGUCUUUUGUCUUUAGAUCUCAUAUCCUUUAGGCCUAUGUAUGUAACUUUACUUCAUUCCAGAAGAGUUUCAGGAAUGCUUUACGUCCAGAAGUUUUUAAAAUGAACUGAGGAAACAUUUAAACAGUAACAGCAUUUAACAGUUGUACUGGUUUAAUAUGUACUCAUAUGAUAUAAAACUGAAGAAAAAUCUGAUAGACUGAAGAAUUUUUUGAAUGGAUAUCUUUUGCAGUAUUGUACUGAUAGUGAAUCUUAGCCAUAAAAGUUAUGUUUCUUUUAUGUUUGACUGUAUCAUCAAAAUGCAAUCAAUAGAGAGUUUGUGCUUUGAGACUUAGGUUUCAGUGGUCUGAGUCUGUAUGCUUUAUUGAGAUGUUUUGUUGUAAUGUUGAUAAGGUAUGACUACUCAAGAAGUUGGGAACUAGUCCAUUGUUUGCAACAUGUAUUAUAAGGCUUAAUAUAAAUUAGCUGGUAAAAAUAAUUUCACAGUCAGGUUGUAGGUUCAGUGAAAUGAAAUUAUGAGGUGCAGGUUUACCAGAUGUUGCUGUCACACUCAGAAACAGAGGUUUAUAGAUGCUCCCUAACUUGAUAGCACAUCAUAUUAAAAUGUUCUGCAUAUAUUUUUGUUAUAACACAGUUUCAUGGUACAGAUAUUUUUAAAAACCAAUAUCUGUAUUAGGGAUAUUUUCAAAUGAAUGAAACAUAGUAGUAUAAAUAUAAUUUAUGAUUCACACUGGAGACCUCACUGAAGUAGUCAAAUUGUC
This is a long non-coding RNA of Cryptotermes secundus, 2380 nucleotides long. RefSeq lists it as uncharacterized. The transcript has 3 exons. The record is from RefSeq and is a predicted model, not a curated record. NCBI's taxonomy places the organism in Eukaryota, Metazoa, Arthropoda, Insecta, Blattodea, Kalotermitidae.